UCCUGCCGUUUUCCUGUUCAAGUGCAACUUAUACUCCAUGUCCAAGUGGAAUUUAAUGCUUCAUCAACGGGUCUAAUGCAAAGGAAGUAUGGCUAUGAUGCCCUUGCUCCCCAUUGCACUCUCCUGGAUAGUGGUUUUGGUUCCUGGUUUGGUUUCUGCGUUCAAAGUCCAGAUGAACAUCACAGCUGGAGAGAACGUCACUCUGCCAUGUCAAGCUUCAAACAACAACAAAAUCAUCAUAGCUAUUGAGUGGAGUAGAGCUGACCUGCCCGCGGAAUAUGUCCUUUUUUACCGCGAUGAGCAAUUUGAUCCAGAAAACCAGCAUCCAUCUUUUAAGAACCGAGUGGAUCUGCAGGACAAACAGAUGAAGGAUGAAGACGUGUCUUUGAUUCUGAACAAUGUGACGACUGCUGAUGCUGGAACUUACGAGUGUCGUGUCAUCCAGAAAGAAACAAGCCGCGGGAAGAGAGCUCAUCUGGGUGUUGACCCCAUCAGCGUCAUCUACCUUCAUGUUGAUCCUCCAGGUCAGACAGGAGGACACCCAGGGGAUGGAGGGAAGGAGGAUGGAUCUGUUGGACUAAUAGCUGGUGUGGUAGUUUCUGCUGUGCUUCUUGUUGCUGCUGUUGCUGUUUUUUUGAUCUACCAAAAAUGUAAGAAGCAUGAUCGCCAAUUAUACCAACCUCCUGUUGAAAUGAAUCAUGUUUAAAACAUCAUAGAAUUUUUCCACCUGUGACACCCAGUGGGCUGGCCUUGUUCUUGCAUUCUUGUUGCCUGUUUCUUGCAGGUAGGUGGAGCUGACCCAAUUAUAGAUGCAGCACACCUGAGAAGGCCAGUCCCAGUGUAUAAAGACACCAUG
Long non-coding RNA from Oreochromis aureus, 856 nucleotides. The record is from Ensembl. Lineage: Eukaryota; Metazoa; Chordata; Actinopteri; Cichliformes; Cichlidae.